This 254-nucleotide ribosomal RNA is filed under the name uncultured bacterium. Its description in RNAcentral is "partial 16S ribosomal RNA". It matches the Rfam family "Bacterial small subunit ribosomal RNA", at positions 524 to 776 of the family's 1533-position model. The record is from RNAcentral.
GACGUAGGGGGCAAGCGUUGUUCGGAAUUAUUGGGCGUAAAGCGCUCGUAGGCGGGACAGGAAGUUCGUGUUGAAAGACCUCGGCUCAACUGAGGGACCGGCUCGAAUACUCUUGUUCUUGAGGCAAUCAGAGGGUGAUGGAAUUCCCGGUGUAGCGGUGAAAUGCGUAGAUAUUGGGAAGAACACCGGUGGCGAAGGCGGCGACCUGGUCCUUUUACUGACGCUGAGGCGCGAAAGCGUGGGGAGCAAACAGG